Molecule: ribosomal RNA, 497 nt
Filed under: uncultured bacterium
Lineage: Bacteria
Description: partial 16S ribosomal RNA
Rfam family: Bacterial small subunit ribosomal RNA
Source: RNAcentral
GAUGAACGCUGGCGGCGUGCCUAAUACAUGCAAGUCGAGCGAACGGACGAUAAUCUUGCUUCUCUGAUGUUAGCGUCGGACGUGUGAUUAACACGUUUAUAACCUACCUAUAUUACUGUUAUAACUUCGUGAAACCUUAUCUAAUACCGUAUAAUCUUUUGAACCGCAUUGUUCAUAAGUGCAUUCCGUUCUUUCUGUCACUUUUAGAUUUUUCCUGGCUGCAUUAGCUAGUUGGUAAGGUAACGGCUUAACAAGGCAACGAUGCAUAGCCGACCUGAGAGGGUGAGCGGCGAAACUGGAACGGAGACACGGACAAGACUCCUACGGGAGGCAGCAGUAGGGAAUAGUGCGAAAUGGGGGAAAGCAUGACGGAGCAACGCCGAGUGAGUGAUGAAGGUCUUCGGAUCGUAAAACAAUGUUAGUAGGGAAGAAAAGAUGGGUAAGAAAAAGUGCAGAUAAUGACGGUACCUAAACAGAAAGCAACGGCUAACUACGUG